GGAGGAAUAGCGAAGUGGUCAUAACGCGGCGGUCUUGAAAACCGUUUGGGCGCGAGCCCCCGGGGGUUCGAAUCCCUCUUCCUCCGCCA
This 89-nucleotide transfer RNA is filed under the name Eubacteriales Family XIII. Incertae Sedis bacterium. Its description in RNAcentral is "tRNA-Ser". It matches the Rfam family "tRNA". From Rfam's summary of the family: Transfer RNA (tRNA) molecules are approximately 80 nucleotides in length. Their secondary structure includes four short double-helical elements and three loops (D, anti-codon, and T loops). Lineage: Bacteria; Bacillati; Bacillota; Clostridia; Peptostreptococcales; Anaerovoracaceae. The record is from RNAcentral.